UACGGAGGGUGCGAGCGUUGUCCGGAAUCACUGGGCGUAAAGGGCGCGUAGGUGGCGCGGUAAGCGUGUGGUGAAAGCCCGGGGCUCAACCCCGGGUCGGCCAUGCGAACUGCUGGGCUUGAGCAUAGUAGAGGCAGGUAGAAUUCCGGGUGUAGCGGUGGAAUGCGUAGAGAUCCGGAAGAAUACCGGUGGCGAAGGCGGCCUGCUGGGCUAUUGCUGACACUGAGGCGCGACAGCGUGGGGAGCAAACAGG
This 253-nucleotide ribosomal RNA is filed under the name uncultured bacterium. RNAcentral's name for it is "partial 16S ribosomal RNA". It matches the Rfam family "Bacterial small subunit ribosomal RNA", at positions 524 to 776 of the family's 1533-position model. The record is from RNAcentral.